UUUUUUUUUUUUUUUUUUUUUUUUUAAUAUAUCUGUGAGUGUCUAAGUCCACUUGCACGCAACUCGACUAAUCUACGAGACAACUGCCCAACCCUACUACAUUUGGUUGUAAAAAAAAUGGUAUCUACCAUAAAUUGAACUAGUUCUCUCUAAGUUUUCUGGUCCUUGCAACUCUUGAUGGUUAUAGCCACAAACAUUUUGAGAUUGAACCUUGCAUGCUUAACAAAAAUUCUGUUGAUGCAUGGACGAUUGUGGUAGACUAUAGUUUCAAAGAUUGCAAAACACUAGAUUUCGGAACUCUUGGAACACAAUGGCUAUUAAAACAAAGGAAUUGUGGUAUGUUCUAAAUAUGGAGAAUAAAAAUUUCUAUGGACUAACAUAUUUUAUGGUCACGUGAAUGUUUCAUUAUUCCAAACUUUCAAGUACAGCAAGCUGUGGAAGGAAAAAAGAAAAAGAGUUAACCUGAAGGGUUUUCUAUCAAGGAAGAUGGCUUGCUGGAAACCAGAGCAGGUUCUCUAGAACCUUUUUGUGGGCAUUUUUGCAAGUGGAUGGUUGAAAGAAAGCAAUCUCGAUGCUGUCAAAUUAAGGAAGAUUGUGUUCUAUUUGACAUGUGACCCAUUGACCCCGCCAGCAACUGAGGUAUUUUUUAUGCUUUAAAAAGAAUUGCAAAUUGGUAUUCAAAUUUGGUACUUCUUUUUUUGUUUUUCCAAUGAAUGUCUGAACAUGUUUAGCUUUUAAGUACAGAAAUGAUCCGAUGCUGUUUGCAAUAAAUUAAUGAGGCAUUUAGUCACUAAUACAUUGGACUUACCUUUUCUUUAUUAUUAACUUUCAGACAUCUUAAUCUCCUCGAAAUGU
Non-coding RNA from Cucurbita pepo subsp. pepo (vegetable marrow), 855 nucleotides. Lineage: Eukaryota; Viridiplantae; Streptophyta; Magnoliopsida; Cucurbitales; Cucurbitaceae. The record is from RefSeq and is a predicted model, not a curated record.